CGAGAUCUCCCACAGGGAGGAACAUUCCUGAGGAGUCCAUGGCUUUGGUGUUUUAGUCUGUAGUGCUCCUGCUUUGUCAGCGACGUCGAAAGCUGACUCCGCACCGCACAGCUUUACAUGGAUGAUGGAUCUUCUUCCUUGAAAGUUGGAUGGGAGAGCGGAGCACUACGCCAUGUCGUCUUCGUUCUUCUUCAGGUGCAAUCCAGAAUCCAGAUUCGCGCGUUGGUAAGAAAGGAUCGAAUCGUCUGGUGAUCUGUAUCACUGCAACUUCUUUGAAUGAUUCGGGUUCCGACGAUCUCGUCGCGCUUUAUGAACAGAGAUCACAUGAUUUUGUUCCAGAGGUUACAUGUGAUGUCAAUGUGCGCGCGCGCGUCUGCGUCGUUUUCCUUUUGUGAGCACAGGCGCCGCCACUAGCUAUGGGAUUAUUCUCUGGUUAUUCUGAUAUGCUCUAUGUUGUAAUUACAGUGGGUGAACUCGUCAGGUCAGGUCAGGCGACGUUCGCCGGUGCCGUAGUGCUGUCGUACGCCGCAGCCGGCGUGCCGGCGUCGUCGCUGGGCACGUAAGAGCAGCUCGCCGUCGACGCCUCCAC
RNAcentral lists this long non-coding RNA (589 nucleotides) under Setaria italica (foxtail millet). Its description in RNAcentral is "long non-coding RNA (SITA_LNC004781)". The record is from RNAcentral. Lineage: Eukaryota; Viridiplantae; Streptophyta; Magnoliopsida; Poales; Poaceae.